This 253-nucleotide ribosomal RNA is filed under the name uncultured bacterium. RNAcentral describes it as "partial 16S ribosomal RNA". It matches the Rfam family "Bacterial small subunit ribosomal RNA", at positions 524 to 776 of the family's 1533-position model. The record is from RNAcentral.
UACGUAGGGCGCAAGCAUUAAUCGGAUUUACUGGGCGUAAAGGGUGCGUAGGCGGGGAAGAAAGUUAGAUGUGAAAUUUCAGGGCUCAACUCUGAAACGGCAUCUAAUACUACUUUUCUUGAGGAUAGGAGGGGAAAGGGGAAUUCCACAUGUAGCGGUGAAAUGCGUAGAUAUGUGGAGGAACACCGGUGGCGAAGGCGCCUUUCUGGCCUAUUCCUGACGCUGAUGCACGAAAGCAAGGGGAGCAAACAGG